GGAUUAUGUCAAUAUAGAGGAAGGUGAAGGCAUAUCUCAGUGGGAAUCACCUCAAGCCCUCGCCAUUUUACAACGUGAUAUUGAACAUGUUGAUCCAAACAAAGUGAAACUAUUCCUUUUGCCGGUUAUGGAGGAGGGUCACUACAGCAUAUACUGUAUCAACUUCAUACAUGACCGCAUAGAUGUUCUGGAUUCUAGCCCAGAAGACCACAAAGUUUACCAUCAAGUUCUAGGUGACCGAAUCAUUCACAGGCUCAAUCUCCUAUUCCAGUUGGCUACGAAUUCCACAAUAAAACAGUUUACUAGAUUCAAGCGUCCCAUCAUAGAUGUAUGUUCACAAACGCGCGCAAUUGAUUGCGGUUUCUUUGCACUUAAAUUCAUGGAGCUUUGGAAUGGUGAAUCUUUCCAUUUUCCAAUCCUAGCAGAAAACAUAUGGCAGUACAAGUCUCAGCUCCUCUUCUAUGGCAUCUACCAUCCGAUCAACAAGAUUGAGAAGCUCCCUGCUGGACUCGAAGCAUAUAGGCCUCGCCUGUGAUCCUCAUCAUUGAUCCUUGUUUUCCAACAAAAUGUGUACUAGUGAAUAAGUUCGAUGCCACUUGUUUUUCUACUGCCCACAAUAAAUUAUUUCAUGUUGGUUGUAUGGACACCAGAGGUU
Molecule: long non-coding RNA, 655 nt
Organism: Panicum virgatum (switchgrass)
Lineage: Eukaryota; Viridiplantae; Streptophyta; Magnoliopsida; Poales; Poaceae
Exons: 3
Source: RefSeq, a predicted model, not a curated record